Molecule: non-coding RNA, 72 nt
Organism: Phrynosoma platyrhinos (Desert horned lizard)
Lineage: Eukaryota; Metazoa; Chordata; Lepidosauria; Squamata; Phrynosomatidae
Source: the annotation of a GenBank genome assembly
UAAGAGGUGGCAUAGUGGCUUGAGUGCUGUACUGUGACUCUAGAGACCAGGGUCCGAUUCCCUGCUCCGCCA